Long non-coding RNA from Syngnathus acus (greater pipefish), 291 nucleotides. RefSeq lists it as uncharacterized. The transcript is spliced from 3 exons. The record is from RefSeq and is a predicted model, not a curated record. Lineage: Eukaryota; Metazoa; Chordata; Actinopteri; Syngnathiformes; Syngnathidae.
UGAGAUACGGCUUUGUUUUUUCCAAGCCAAGAAACAGCUGGGAUUCUAGUCCCAAUGGAAGGAACGAGCUAAGAAAAAACAGAGCUUCUUUUUGUUAAUUGAAGAAGGGCGUAGAUUCUUUUGUGUCCGUUUUUCCAAGCUGUUUGCAUGAAAGUUGUGUGGUUGAAUGUGACUGGUAGGAUAAAUUGACUAAAUAGCAGUUCUAGCAUUUAUCCACGGCAAUAACACAGGCUAGUAAUUUGUUGAAAGGUCAAUUUAAACCUGCAUUGAGGAUCCUCAAAGAAAGAAAAA